Labrus mixtus (cuckoo wrasse) is the source of this 333-nucleotide long non-coding RNA. RefSeq lists it as uncharacterized. NCBI's taxonomy places the organism in Eukaryota, Metazoa, Chordata, Actinopteri, Labriformes, Labridae. The record is from RefSeq and is a predicted model, not a curated record. The transcript is spliced from 3 exons.
CGUCCUCACACCAAAGACUGAUCAACAAGUUUGUCUUCCUAGCCGAUACUGAACAAAAUCUGCCAUACCUUUUCUUGGAUUAGGGACUUGAAAAAACAUGUUACUCAACAUGUCCUCACUAAGGCAAGUGGAAACGUUGGUUUUGAUUGUCUUACUUUUCUUCGCCAGUUUAUACACAGAAGCUAAACCCAUCAGAAAGAGAACCAUCAGCGAAGUUCAGCUCAUGCACAACGUCCGGGAACACAAACAAGUGGGGGACAGACAGGACUGGCUUCAGGAAAAGUUAAAGGACAUCAUAGUUGCCAGCGUUAAACCACAACAAGGACAAUCAGG